Long non-coding RNA from Heterocephalus glaber (naked mole-rat), 2027 nucleotides. The record is from Ensembl. NCBI's taxonomy places the organism in Eukaryota, Metazoa, Chordata, Mammalia, Rodentia, Bathyergidae.
CUUUCAAUCCAGCUGGACUCCUUCACCCGGAGGUGAGGCUCGGUCCCAUGGAGCUCCCCAGCCUGCAGGGCCAGUCGCAGGCUCCAGAUUGUUUUGCCUGGGGUUCCUGUGACCCCACCCCCACUUGGGUUCUAUUAAUUUUCUAGACCAACUCACAGAUCUGAGGAAAACGUAUCUACUGGUUCAUCACAGAAGAUACUUUAAAGGACACAGCUGACAGCCAGAUGGAGGGAUCUUACAGCCAGGCCUGGGAGAGGCCUGAGCACAGGAGCUGCUGCCUGCUGGAUAGGGUGUGCCAGCCUCCAGGCACGAGACUGGGUUCUUGUUGAGCUUCCUGGAAGCCCCUGAACUCGGCCUUGGUGGGGGGGCAGAGUGUAGAGGCUUCACUAGGGAGCCAUGAGGGAGGAGGCUAUUGGCCCUUGGUGGUCAACUUGGCCUCAGCCGCUCUCCAGAGAUGGGGCCAUGAGUCGAAAUCCUCCGAGCAUCUGGUUGGUUCCCCCGGCAACUGGCCACCACCCCAGGAUUAUCUAGAGACCUUCAAAAAUCACAUCAGUAAGGUCGACUCAGGUGUUGACUGAAAGGGACUUGUCACGAUUCCGUUUGCCUUCGUUGCUCUGGAGACGUGCAGAAAGAUAACUGAUACAUCGAUGAUAGAUACAAGCAGGCAGGGCAGGCAACAAGGGGACAGACAAAAGCCUCAUCAUUGGUUCCAGCAUUUCGACCUCUUCUGCCCCCAACUGCCUGCACCUUCCCCAGGUCUGAGACAGACAACAGCAUGGUGUAAUCUCCUCACAGCUGCUGCAGUCCUCAAUUGAGGUAGAUGUGUCCUGUGUGUCUCAUAACCAUGUCCAGGGAGCAGAGGAGAGAGGCUCCAGUCAGAUUCCUGCACGGAGAGGUGAUCCCUGGCCUGUCCCAGGUGAUUCGACGAAAAAAAAUGCCUGGAUGAAAGGGUUAAAAAUAAUGUUUUAGGGGCCGGGGAUUUAGCUCAGUGGUUUCACCACCUGCUGCACUAGCGCAAGGACCCAAGUUCGAUCCCCGGCACCAAAAAAAUAAAUAAAUAAAUAAAAUGUUUUUGGUGAAAACACACUUAUGGAAGACUCUUCCACGAUGGCUUGGCAGUAUGUGGGCACCAUCUGCCGGAAGAAUAAGGUACAUACAAGUACACCACCAGCACUCCUCUAGGGUUUUUUCUUUUUGUUGUUUUGUUUGUUUUGUUUUGUUUUUCUCUUUUGAGACUGCCUUGCUAUGUUGCUCAAACUAUCCUUGAACUCCAGCCAUCCUCCUGCCUCAGCUUCCUGAAUAGCCUGGACUACUGGCAGGCACCACCACAUGCACAAAGGGAUGAGCUACUGCAGACCUGGCUCAGCCUCUCCUUGAAGCCAAGUGCUUCUCUCAAUGAGACUGGGAGACUCCUGGCCAGACAACCACACUCAGGGCCAAGUCAGCCCAGACUUGGUGACUAGUGAACAAGGGAUUCCUUGAACCAACAGUAAUAACGUGUUCCAGGGUGUAGCUGGCAUGACUCUCAGCCUAACCCCAGUUUUACAGGAAGGGGUAGCAGCUAACCUUUCAAGGGAAAUUUAGCCCUCUUACCUCCUGAAAAGCCACUAGCUCAAUGACGCUUUUGAAUCACAGAAGUUUCCCCAAACGCUGGUGUCCAAAUCACUGACAUUUCCAAGGAGAGCAGACGGUGUCCAGACCAUGACAGCACUGAGAUAGGCUGGACAGUCCAGGUGUCCACAGCCAGAUCUCUGCCCUGGAGAUGUCCUUGUGGUGGUGCCCCCAGAAGAUGUGGAGAAGACACUCAGCAAAUUGCUUUUGAAACAGCAAAAAUCAUAGAACCAACCAACCUGGUCAUCAACAACAGAAAGGAGAAGCAGCUGUUGAGGUGUGUCUUGGUCACGUUCCUCCGUGCUGGGACACAGUGCCCCAUGUUGCAUGACAUCAAAGCUCUUCUGAUCCAAGGGGCAUUCUCUGUCACCAUUCAGCAUGUAGUAUGGUGUCUCCUGUUUCGGACAGAAGAAAAC